CCUACGGGAGGCAGCAGUGGGGAAUAUUGCACAAUGGGGGAAACCCUGAUGCAGCGACGCCGCGUGAGUGAAGAAGUAAUUCGUUACGUAAAGAUCUAUCAGCAGGGAAGAAAAUGACGGUAACUGAGUAAUAAGCCCCGGCGAACUACGUGCCAGCAGCCGCGGGAAUACGUAGGGGGCAAGCGAUAUCCGGAUUUACUGGGUGUAAAGGGAGCGUAGACGGUGCGCCAAGUAUGGAGUGAAAUGCCGCAGCUGAACUGCGGAACUGCUUGGGAAAACGGCGAACUAGAGUGCGGGAGGGGUAAGCGGAAUUCCUGGUGUAGCGGUGAAAUGCGUAGAUAUUAGGAAGAACACCGGUGGCGAAGGCGGCUUACUGGACCGUAACUGACGUUGAGGCUCGAAAGCGUGGGGAGCAAACAGGAUUAGAUACCCGGGUAGUC
RNAcentral lists this ribosomal RNA (440 nucleotides) under uncultured bacterium. RNAcentral's name for it is "partial 16S ribosomal RNA". It matches the Rfam family "Bacterial small subunit ribosomal RNA", at positions 338 to 795 of the family's 1533-position model. The record is from RNAcentral.